Molecule: ribosomal RNA, 425 nt
Filed under: uncultured bacterium
Lineage: Bacteria
Description: partial 16S ribosomal RNA
Rfam family: Bacterial small subunit ribosomal RNA
Source: RNAcentral
GUGGGGAAUAUUGGACAAUGGGCGAAAGCCUGAUCCAGCAAUGCCGCGUGAGUGAUGAAGGCCUUAGGGUUGUAAAGCUCUUUUACCCGGGAAGAUAAUGACUGUACCGGGAGAAUAAGCCCCGGCUAACUCCGUGCCAGCAGCCGCGGUAAUACGGAGGGGGCUAGCGUUGUUCGGAAUUACUGGGCGUAAAGCGCACGUAGGCGGUUUUGUAUGUUAGAGGUGAAAGCCUGGGGCUCAACCCCAGAAUUGCCUUUAAGACUGCAUCACUUGAACGUCGGAGAGGUGAGUGGAAUUCCGAGUGUAGAGGUGAAAUUCGUAGAUAUUCGGAAGAACACCAGUGGCGAAGGCGGCUCACUGGACGACUGUUGACGCUGAGGUGCGAAAGCGUGGGGAGCAAACAGGAUUAGAAACCCGUGUAGUCC